RNAcentral lists this ribosomal RNA (253 nucleotides) under uncultured bacterium. RNAcentral's name for it is "partial 16S ribosomal RNA". It matches the Rfam family "Bacterial small subunit ribosomal RNA", at positions 524 to 776 of the family's 1533-position model. The record is from RNAcentral.
UACGUAGGGUGCAAGCGUUGUCCGGAAUUAUUGGGCGUAAAGAGCUCGUAGGCGGUUUGUCGCGUCUGCUGUGAAAACCCGAGGCUCAACCUCGGGCCUGCAGUGGGUACGGGCAGACUAGAGUGCGGUAGGGGAGAUUGGAAUUCCUGGUGUAGCGGUGAAAUGCGCAGAUAUCAGGAAGAACACCCGUGGCGAAGGCGGCUCUCUGGGACGGUACUGACGCUGAGACGCGAAAGCGUGGGGAGCGAACAGG